RNAcentral lists this ribosomal RNA (390 nucleotides) under uncultured bacterium. RNAcentral describes it as "bacterial SSU rRNA". It matches the Rfam family "Bacterial small subunit ribosomal RNA", at positions 30 to 421 of the family's 1533-position model. The record is from RNAcentral.
AUUGAACGCUGGCGGCAUGCCUUACACAUGCAAGUCGAACGGCAGCACGGGAGCAAUCCUGGUGGCGAGUGGCGAACGGGUGAGUAAUAUAUCGGAACGUGCCCAGUCGUGGGGAUAACGCAGCGAAAGCUGUGCUAAUACCGCAUACGAUCUACGGAUGAAAGCGGGGGAUCGCAAGACCUCGCGCGAUUGGAGCGGCCGAUAUCAGAUUAGCUAGUUGGUGGGGUAAAGGCCCACCAAGGCGACGAUCUGUAGCUGGUCUGAGAGGACGACCAGCCACACUGGAACUGAGACACGGUCCAGACUCCUACGGAGGCAGCAGUGGGGAAUUUUGGGACAAUGGGCGCAAGCCUGAUCCAGCAAUGCCGCGUGCAGGAUGAAGGCCUUCGG